Photinus pyralis (common eastern firefly) is the source of this 1445-nucleotide RNA transcript. RefSeq lists it as uncharacterized. NCBI's taxonomy places the organism in Eukaryota, Metazoa, Arthropoda, Insecta, Coleoptera, Lampyridae. The transcript has 3 exons. The record is from RefSeq and is a predicted model, not a curated record.
UAUGCCACAUUUAAUUUAUUUUAAAUUUAAAUUAAAAAAUUAAAAGUUAACCAACUUUCAACUAUUAAAUUAAAUGCUACGUGAAAACGCAAAUGCGCAUGCGGUAAAUUUAUUGAUUUUUCCUAACAGCUGAUUGAAAUUACUUGGUCACGUCGAACACGUGCGUUGCGGGCGCCAUUACUUGUUUACUGCUUGUUUACGUAAGAUACACACGCGAAAUGGAUGAUACCAUUUUAAUAAAUUUGGUAGAAAAAUACAAUUUUCUGUAUGAUAGGAGACAUACAGAUUUUAAAAACAAAUCGAUGAGGGCCAAUGCUUGGUCCACAAUUGGUUCUAUUUUAAACACAUCUGAUAAUUACAGCUGGUGAGGCUGAACAGAGGUUCGCUGUUCUACGCAACAGGUACACUGUUGAAAAAAAGAAGAUGAAAGCAAAUAGAUCCGGUGAUGCAGGAGGAAUUGAGAAGAAAUGGCCCUUAUUUGAUAUAUUAAGUUUCCUGGACACGUUUAUUAUACCAAGAAGAACUACAGGCAACAUCUCAACCUGCUCAGCAAAGCAGGACCAAGAAACUCCAAUUUUGGAGAUGCCGAAUUCCCCAGAAUGGGAUACCUUCACGCAAAUAACACAAACUGAAGAUCAACAACCUGCUAACACUCCUGCAGAUUCGGAAAUAGACGAGCCACCCAACAGUCCAGUAACCACUCGAGUAACCAUUACACCUCCAAUUACAAGACGGCCAAAACAGGAAAAAACGAAAAAUAAUUCUGUCCAUUUCAAAUGCCUUUUCGGCUUUUAACACGGCAAUCCAACAACCCCCACCGAACGAGCCACAAGCCAUGGAUGAAGACGACCAUUUCGCCUACAACAUUGCAGCCUCCUUACGCCGGAUAACCUCUAACAAAAUAAAAGCACAGGCAAAAAUAGACUUGCUGCAAGUAAUGCAAAAAUAUGCUGAUUAAUGUUCAUAUAUACUUCUUUUUAAUUUAUUUUUGUAAUAUGAUUAUUGUAAUAGUUAGGUUAACAAAAUAUAAUACAAACUAACAAUAAUAUAACAUUUUUAUAUUCAAUGCGGUAAGCUGCCUGCAUAUAUUUGUUGGAUUUGCCAUGGUACACUUCCAGCAUCGGACACAAAAUAAUCCGCUAGCAAAUCUCUAUUUGCACCAACUCUGUGAGAAAAGUUGUUGGUGCCAAUCCUUCCAAUGCCUGUUAAGUGUUGUCCAGUACCUCUCCAACGACCUUCGUGGAGAGUCCCUUCGCCAUCUAUGUAAUCGGCAUAACCAUUUGGUAGAUAUACUUUUUUGCCAUUUUCUUCUGUAAGUAUAAAAUUGUGUAGAACCACAGUUGCUUUCACAAUUUCUUCACAAGUGCUGAGGUCUGCGAUAAUAGUUUUUCUCAACACUCUCCACCGUUGUGCCACAAUCCCGAAUGCAUUUUCUAUGCACCGUC